GACGAACGCUGGCGGCGUGCUUAACACAUGCAAGUCGAACGGAAAGGCCCUGCUUGCAGGGUGCUCGAGUGGCGAACGGGUGAGUAACACGUGGGUGAUCUGCCCCUUACUUUGGGAUAAGCCUGGGAAACUGGGUCUAAUACUGGAUAGGACCAUGCUGUAGGUGGUGUGGUGGAAAGAUUAGUUUCGGUAAGGGAUGAGCUCGCGGCCUAUCAGCUUGUUGGUGGGGUAAUGGCCUAACAAGGCGUCGACGGGUAGCCGGCCUGAGAGGGUGGACGGCCACAUUGGGACUGAGAUACGGCCCAGACUCCUACGGGAGGCAGCAAUGGGGAAUAUUGCACAAUGGGCGCAAGCCUGAUGCAGCGACGCCGCGUGGGGGAUGACGGCCUUCGGGUUGUAAACUCCUUUCAGCCAUGACGAAGCCUUCGGGUGACGGUAGUGGUAGAAGAAGCACCGGCUAACUACGUG
RNAcentral lists this ribosomal RNA (468 nucleotides) under uncultured bacterium. RNAcentral describes it as "partial 16S ribosomal RNA". It matches the Rfam family "Bacterial small subunit ribosomal RNA", at positions 28 to 507 of the family's 1533-position model. The record is from RNAcentral.